Molecule: transfer RNA, 70 nt
Filed under: Cricetulus griseus (Chinese hamster)
Lineage: Eukaryota; Metazoa; Chordata; Mammalia; Rodentia; Cricetidae
Rfam family: tRNA
About the family: Transfer RNA (tRNA) molecules are approximately 80 nucleotides in length. Their secondary structure includes four short double-helical elements and three loops (D, anti-codon, and T loops).
Source: Rfam by way of RNAcentral
GGGAAUAUAGCUCAGUUGGUAGAGUGCUUGCCUAGCACACAUGAAGCCCUAGGUUCCAUUCUUAGUACUA